Molecule: long non-coding RNA, 713 nt
Organism: Sarcophilus harrisii (Tasmanian devil)
Lineage: Eukaryota; Metazoa; Chordata; Mammalia; Dasyuromorphia; Dasyuridae
Exons: 3
Source: RefSeq, a predicted model, not a curated record
AUUAACUUACGUUGCUUCAACAACCACGCCAACUCCAGCUGGCCGCAGGGCUUCUGUGACUGCUACCGCAAUUUGUUUUGAGUGCUCCUAGAAAUGUGAGGGGAGACGUAGCCUUGUUGUGGAAUCUGAGACUCAUCUCUUGACAGCAGUUGGGAUAAGAUUCCUAGUGCAUAUUGGGGUUACAUUGGGAAGGAUAUGAUGUCUUGGCUUCCAGGUCAAUACACUGCUGUGCUGAGUCAAGCAGGCUGUUUCCCAUGGCUGCCCUGGCUGUUCCUAUUACUAGUAGACAGUUGCUGGAUCUCUGAAGAUACUUAUGAUUUUGUGAGCAAGGUCCUGACCUAAUCUAUUUCAGCUCCUUCGUCUAAGACCAGGAAAGAAUAGACACAAGAAGAAAAAGGUGCCAAAUGUUCAUAGGCAAUGGCACAGAAGCUAGUUAAAAAUAACUCUUUCUUUACUCAAUAGCUAACAAACAGCAUUUCUCACUCUUCACUCAAAAGGGAGAGAAAUAUUUAGCUUGUCUAUGAAUUUUUUUUAAUGUAUAGUCAGUUCUGGGUCAUGUAAUUUUUAAAGAAAAUACAUUUAAGAAUUACAUUAUAAUAGAUGUUGCCAUAUCAAAUUAGUCAUACUCCCCUAAACUACAUGGAAUUAAAAGACUCAUAAUGUACAUAUACCGUCUGGUAAAGAACGAAAUAAAACAUCAUGUAGGAACCAGA